RNAcentral lists this long non-coding RNA (414 nucleotides) under Equus caballus (horse). Its description in RNAcentral is "lncRNA (ENSECAG00000039824.3)". Lineage: Eukaryota; Metazoa; Chordata; Mammalia; Perissodactyla; Equidae. The record is from RNAcentral.
CGCGGCCUGGUUGGGCUGCCGCGUCCAGAACGCGGCGUUUUUGGUGACGUCGCGCCCGGGAGGGAGUAGUUUGCUCCGGGGCGGCUCGAGCAGCCCGGUUUCACGUGGGCUGUGAACAGAAGCCUGACGUCCAGGCCGCGGCGCCAGACCAAGUCCUUUGGCCUUGCGAGCAGGCUUCGUGAUGGCGGGAGCAAAGCCGUGACUGACUGCGGCCCAUUGAGGCUUACCCCUUAUGGUCUCAGUGGGCCUGGGUCUCCUGACCUAAUGAAAGUGGGAGAAGUAAAAACGAUUGAAAAGAGAGGAAUACGCUGGAAGUUUAAGGAAGCUGAUAGGCAAAAGCAAACAGUAGGGAUCCCAUCCAGGACACCGCAUUAGUUGUCAUGUCUCCUCAGGUGGAGCUUGGAAUCAGGUGAU